AAGUCGUAACAAGGUUUCCGUAGGUGAACCUGCGGAAGGAUCAUUAUAGAAAUCGUGAUGGCUCGUGAAAGGUUGUUGCUGGUCCUACAGGGCAUGUGCACGCUUGGAUCGGGUUCGUUCAUCCUUUUCUUCCACACACCUGUGCACGAUCUGUAGCUUAGGGAUGAUCACGAAGUUGCUCUGUCGAUUUCGAAUGCCCUUCGCUAUGUAUUAUAACACACGCUCUAUGUAUUUUGGAAUGUUACGGAUAUAUGCGUGUUAACAAACGCAGAUGCAAUACAACUUUCAGCAACGGAUCUCUUGGCUCUC
Molecule: unclassified non-coding RNA, 309 nt
Filed under: Hydnellum concrescens
Lineage: Eukaryota; Fungi; Basidiomycota; Agaricomycetes; Thelephorales; Thelephoraceae
Description: partial internal transcribed spacer region
Rfam family: Eukaryotic small subunit ribosomal RNA (bases 1-46)
Source: RNAcentral